Long non-coding RNA from Pocillopora verrucosa, 1087 nucleotides. RefSeq lists it as uncharacterized. NCBI's taxonomy places the organism in Eukaryota, Metazoa, Cnidaria, Anthozoa, Scleractinia, Pocilloporidae. The record is from RefSeq and is a predicted model, not a curated record.
UUGUCUUUUCCUCUACAUCGAUCUAGGAGAAGUAGUAUGUGAAUAUCUCGAUUUCUUUGCUCGGUUGUGCAAAACGGGAGUGUAGAGAAGUCGUCAAGCUUAUACUGGAGUAACUUAUCUUUUCCUCCACAGUUGGAAGGUUCGUCGGCGCGCCAAAAUCAUGAGGGCAUAUGCCGUGAUCGUGUGCCUACUCCUUAUUCUGUACCAAGUUAGUGCGGCUCCAAGGCCAUGUAGAAAUAGACGAGAUGUAAGUGACAAAAAGACUGACGAUAAAACAGAAAAUAAGGAGAAUGAUCACGAAAGUUCAGGGAAGAGUGAAGCAAAAGGAAGUCAAAAGGACAAAAAACAGUAUGUGCCAUAUUAUCCAGCCGCUCCCGCUGUUCCAGCAUAUAACAUGGGAGAUGUCAUUUGUGAGGACAGUAGACCUGUGCAAGUUGUCCAAAUAAGGGAUUUAAGUAUUGUGAAUGGAGUCAUCAAGUCGAGCAAUAUCUCAUAGAUCCUGGAUGGCAGACCACAAGUAGAAGAAAUUUGGAUAUUGGAUAGUUUUUGUACAAAACACAUUUUUGAACGUUUGCAGCACGUGUUUGUGGUUUGCGAUUCAGUUCUUUACGAAUUUUUAUUCGCGUCCUGACAUGGACUACAGAAAUGGAGAAAAUUUAUUUCUCAAACCACUUAAAAACUCGACAAUGAGAGGUUACACCGAAUGGAUGAGACUAGCAUGGACAUAUCGACAGUUUUAAUGUGGCUAUUCAAGGAGAUUUGAGGAUCCGCGAGAGACAGAGAAACUUUUAAAUCCGUCGAGUAUGAUCGACUUGCCCUAUUGUAAAGAAAAAGAAUAUCGAAAAGGGCUCUUUCCAAACGACUUUUUGUGAAGUUUAAGCUUUUGAAAGGGAGAGUUAUUCCACAAAUGAUGUCUUCAUUCAGUAAGGCGUUAUGUACAUAUCUUGUUGAGACAUUUGCAGCCGUCGAUGGUAGAAUUACACUAGAUAUACACGAAAUUCACGACUGCACGACAAGAUGGUAUUGCAGUAGCUUAGCUUGUUUGUAAAAAGGAAACAAAUCACAAAUUACAAACCAAAUUGUUAUA